AGGGUGAUAAAUAUGGAUCUAUUUGUAUUCAUCUACAUGAAGAUAUCUAGUUAAACCAGCACUAUUUGUUGAAAAUGCUUUCUGUUUUCCAUUGUAUGGUUUUGGAUUCUUUGUCAAAAAUCUACUGUCUGUAGGUAUGUGGAUUUAUUUCUGAGUCUGAAAUAUGAUUCCUUUGAUUAACCAUUCUGUUUGUAUGCCUAUACCAUGUGGAUUUUUUUUUAAUUGCCAUUGCUCUGUAGUACAAGUACAGCUUGUAAUCAGGGGUGGUGAUAUCUCCAGAAGUUCUUUGUUUUAUCUAUCCUGGGUUUUUGGUUUUUGGGUUUUUUGUGUUAAUUUUUGUAUCCAGCCAUUUUGCUGAAGGUGUUUAUCAGCAGUAGGAGUUCAUGAGUAGAACUUGGUGUCACUUAUGUAUCAUAUCAUCUGCGAAUAGCAAUACUUUGACUUCUUCCUUUCUAAUUUGUGUCCCCUUCAUUUCCUUUACUUAUCUUAUUGUUCGAGGUAGAACUUCAAAUACUAUAUUGAAUAAAUACAGAGGGAGUAGAGA
Molecule: long non-coding RNA, 544 nt
Filed under: Rattus norvegicus (Norway rat)
Lineage: Eukaryota; Metazoa; Chordata; Mammalia; Rodentia; Muridae
Description: long non-coding RNA NONRATT003114
Source: RNAcentral